RNAcentral lists this ribosomal RNA (497 nucleotides) under uncultured bacterium. Its description in RNAcentral is "partial 16S ribosomal RNA". It matches the Rfam family "Bacterial small subunit ribosomal RNA", at positions 28 to 507 of the family's 1533-position model. The record is from RNAcentral.
GAUGAACGCUGGCGGCGUGCCUAAUACAUGCAAGUCGAGCGCACGGACGAGAAGCUUGCUUCUCUGAUGUUAGCGGCGGACGUGUGAGUAACACGUGGAUCACCUACCUAUAAGACUGGGAUAACUUCGGGAAACCGGAUCUAAUACCGGAUGAUAUUUUGAACCGCAUGGUUCAAAAGUGAAAGACGGUCUUGCUGUCACUUAUAGAUGGAUCCGCGCUGCAUUAGCUAGUUGGUAAGGUAACGGCUUACCAAGGCAACGAUGCAUAGCCGACCUGAGAGGGUGACCGGCAACACUGGAACUGAGACACGGUCAAGACUCCUACGGGAGGCAGAAGAAGGGAAUCUUCGGAAAUGGGCGAAAGCCUGACGGAGAAACGCCGCGUGAGUGAUGAAGGUCUUCGGAUCGUAAAACUCUGUUAUUAGGGAAGAACAUAUGUGUAAGUAACUGUGCACAUCUUGACGGUACCUAAUCAGAAAGCCACGGCUAACUACGUG